Molecule: long non-coding RNA, 952 nt
Filed under: Coffea arabica (coffee)
Lineage: Eukaryota; Viridiplantae; Streptophyta; Magnoliopsida; Gentianales; Rubiaceae
Description: long non-coding RNA (CARA_LNC004269)
Source: RNAcentral
AACGAGACACUUUAAAAAAUAUAACGAAACUAUAAAACUAUGUACUUAGGUCUAAUAAGGUUAGAAAAUAAUAAUCGAAGCAAAUAUUUGAAUAAAUAAUUAAAUGAGCAAAAAUAGGAGUCGAAAAAAUAAUAAUAAUUUUACGAGUCCUCACAGAUUGAGUUUCAAGAAAAGGCCCUUGGGUUACUUGGCUCUAAGAUAGGCAUUGAUAGUCAAAUUUCCUAUUCUUUGAGGGAUUCACUAUUAUUUUACCCUUUCAAUAUUCUUUUUUUGGCACUUUUUACCAUACUAGAGCUACUGUGUGUGACGCUCCCACUUCUCCCAAGGGCGAACCCAAGAGUAUCCGCAGAACGCCUGCCUAACUCUCGCCAGGACUCGAGACAAAUCAAUUCAAAUUUAACAAUAUAUAACAAUUUAUACCAGUCUAAUAAGGAAAAAUCGCUUCCAUAAUCGAAUAUCCAAGUCUUGCACCACGAGUUCAAAAUACAUCUGUUAUCCAAUUCUUACAUCAGGAUCCAAAAGAUACAUCAAUUCCCAAAUAUAUACAAUAGCCAAAAUAUCUAGUCAAUUACAAUUGAAACCCUAAUACAAAAGUACAUCCAAAGGGUUCUAUCGAGUUUCACUCCAUCCAUUCCUGUUAAGGAAAACAAAUCUACGGGGUGAACCAAUAGCUCGUGAGGCCAAGAAAACACACAUGCAAGCACGUUGUCCAAGUAACAAUCCCAAUAUAACAAGUAGAGCAAUGCAAUUUCAAUAUAUAACAAUUCGAGCGAGAAAAUUAAACAGAAACAAUUCAAGAAUAUAUGAGCUCUCAGGAGUUAUUUUCCACUUGCUUCGCCAUGGCUCGAUCCGAUACCCCUUCGUGAUGACACUCCGUCAUCUGGGUGGGUAUUAUAUCCGUAGAAACUUCACUUAUUACUUCCUCCGACCAACAUUCCACCCUCUCAGAUCC